UUACUGCGAAGGGGGGACGGAGAAGGCUAUGUUGGCCGGGCGACGGUUGUCCCGGUUUAAGCGUGUAGGCUGGUUUUCCAGGCAAAUCCGGAAAAUCAAGGCUGAGGCGUGAUGACGAGGCACUACGGUGCUGAAGCAACAAAUGCCCUGCUUCCAGGAAAAGCCUCUAAGCAUCAGGUAACAUCAAAUCGUACCCCAAACCGACACAGGUGGUCAGGUAGAGAAUACCAAGGCGCUUGAGAGAACUCGGGUGAAGGAACUAGGCAAAAUGGUGCCGUAACUUCGGGAGAAGGCACGCUGAUAUGUAGGUGAAGUCCCUCGCGGAUGGAGCUGAAAUCAGUCGAAGAUACCAGCUGGCUGCAACUGUUUAUUAAAAACACAGCACUGUGCAAACACGAAAGUGGACGUAUACGGUGUGACGCCUGCCCGGUGCCGGAAGGUUAAUUGAUGGGGUCAGCGCAAGCGAAGCUCUUGAUCGAAGCCCCGGUAAACGGCGGCCGUAACUAUAACGGUCCUAAGGUAGCGAAAUUCCUUGUCGGGUAAGUUCCGACCUGCACGAAUGGCGUAAUGAUGGCCAGGCUGUCUCCACCCGAGACUCAGUGAAAUUGAACUCGCUGUGAAGAUGCAGUGUACCCGCGGCAAGACGGAAAGACCCCGUGAACCUUUACUAUAGCUUGACACUGAACAUUGAGCCUUGAUGUGUAGGAUAGGUGGGAGGCUUUGAAGUGUGGACGCCAGUCUGCAUGGAGCCGACCUUGAAAUACCACCCUUUAAUGUUUGAUGUUCUAACGUGGACCCGUGAUCCGGGUUGCGGACAGUGUCUGGUGGGUAGUUUGACUGGGGCGGUCUCCUCCUAAAGAGUAACGGAGGAGCACGAAGGUUGGCUAAUCCUGGUCGGACAUCAGGAGGUUAGUGCAAUGGCAUAAGCCAGCUUGACUGCGAGCGUGACGGCGCGAGCAGGUGCGAAAGCAGGUCAUAGUGAUCCGGUGGUUCUGAAUGGAAGGGCCAUCGCUCAACGGAUAAAAGGUACUCCGGGGAUAACAGGCUGAUACCGCCCAAGAGUUCAUAUCGACGGCGGUGUUUGGCACCUCGAUGUCGGCUCAUCACAUCCUGGGGCUGAAGUAGGUCCCAAGGGUAUGGCUGUUCGCCAUUUAAAGUGGUACGCGAGCUGGGUUUAGAACGUCGUGAGACAGUUCGGUCCCUAUCUGCCGUGGGCGCUGGAGAACUGAGGGGGGCUGCUCCUAGUACGAGAGGACCGGAGUGGACGCAUCACUGGUGUUCGGGUUGUCAUGCCAAUGGCACUGCCCGGUAGCUAAAUGCGGAAGAGAUAAGUGCUGAAAGCAUCUAAGCACGAAACUUGCCCCGAGAUGAGUUCUCCCUGACCCUUUAAGGGUCCUGAAGGAACGUUGAAGACGACGACGUUGAUAGGCCGGGUGUGUAAGCGCAGCGAUGCGUUGAGCUAACCGGUACUAAUGAACCGUGAGGCUUAACCUU
RNAcentral lists this ribosomal RNA (1494 nucleotides) under Escherichia coli. Its description in RNAcentral is "partial 23S ribosomal RNA". It matches the Rfam family "Bacterial large subunit ribosomal RNA", at positions 1451 to 2925 of the family's 2925-position model. The record is from RNAcentral. Lineage: Bacteria; Pseudomonadati; Pseudomonadota; Gammaproteobacteria; Enterobacterales; Enterobacteriaceae.